GUGAGCCGUGCUCUCCGUUCCCAGCUCCGUCACUGCUCUGCUCCUGGGCACCCGCGGCAUCUGGCCACGGGCGAUGAGUUAAUCCCCUGACGGUACGGCCGAGAGCAUGCGCUUACCCGAGAGUCUCUCUUAAGGUUACAAAGCUUUCUUUCUAUCUCCUAUUUGUUUUUCCUGUUUAAUUCCAGGUUAGUGAAGCUCUUUUGCUGUUCCAAGCAGCAGCGAAGCACGCAGCCUCCUCCUUCCUUGAGUCUGAAUUCCAGCCAUGCUUUUCCCAAGGGGGAAAAAAAAAAAGAGUUUUAACUGCACUGCUGGACUUGUAAAAAUGAGCAAGGUUUGAUUUUUUGGGGAAAAAUCCAGAUUUUUACUUAAAGCCACGAUACAGAGCAAUUUAAAUUCAACCCCUUAGAAUACACAUCUGUGAAAAGUCUGUGCCGUCCCCUGUAACACCUCUCGCUGGUUUUUUCCACCCCGGGUGUCUGCAGCCGUACUAUCAGUUUCACAGUUUCCUGCAGUUCCUAUGCACUAAGUUCAUUUUGUUUGGCUGGGUUUUUUUUUUUUUGUUUUUUUUUGGGUUUUUUUUUGUCAUAAGAAAACACAAAAAGGAAGGGGGGGGAAGAACACUUUUAAAAAUAGGAAAAUGUUUGCAGUGUUACAAUCGCUUUGGCAGUGGCUCGAGACAAACGCAGCGCCGAAACCACUCUGCAAGCCUGCUGAAAUUCAAUCGGCAAUCCUUUCUUUUGGUGUUUGUGUGAAAAUAGGAGAACAUAUAUUGGUAGCGAUUUGCACCGAGUCUUUUGCUCUGUAGCUGUCGAGAAAACUAUAAAAGCAAUGUACUGCACCCGUUAUUAUGAGCGAUGCCGCAGGAAGUCUGCUUCGAUAAAGAGUUGCCAGCUCGCUAUUGCAAGUUAAAGGUCUUAAAGUUAAAUGUCUUAAAGCCAGGACAGCUGGAGUCACCUAAUUAUAUGAGAAAUUCUGCUUUCACUUACAGCGCAGUGCUUGUUGGUGCGGGGAGCAGACGUAACGUUAAUUGGAAGGUUAACUAGAGAUUGCAAACUGGAACUCAAGGAUUGUUUGUGCUUAAAAAAAAUAAAAUAAAAAAAUCUUACUGGCUUUGAAAUAAAACCACCAGAGCAAAACGCCCCAUGAUCCAAAAAUUCCUCUUGACUUUAAGUGCCGGGUCGGUAACAGGGGAGAAGCUCAGCACCCGGCACCGGUAACGGGGCUUGGUGUCACUGGGAGCGGUGGUACAGCAGACCUGGCGUGAGCCUUUUCCCCUGCGCCGGGUGGUACUGCACGGCAAUGUGGAGUUUGUACCCACCAGCUGGCUUUUAAUCUGAAUUCUCUUUGAAAUUUCCCUUGCAGGGUCUCUCCCCGCAGCUCACGGGAGGCGUUGCUCAGCAGACUCCAACAACCAACUGUUUUUUUCUUUUUUUUGACUCUGAGUUUGUCCAGUUUCAGAUCUGCAGCUUUAUUAUUAGCAACCCCUUUUGCAUGUGGUUUGCCCAUCACCUGCUUGACACCUGUAGAGAAAACCAGUUUCCUCCUGUGCUGCUGUAUGACGAGAGGCUCAACCGACGGUCCAUCCACGCGGCAGUGACGCCCACGGGACCCUUUCGGUUGCCCAUACUACAUUUUUUUUUUUUUUUUUAGAGUUUGGUCACCUUAAAGGGCUAUUACAAUAAAUUGCCUCUUUUGCCUCCCCCAUUCUUCAUCGGUCUGUUCUUCAUAUAGGAAAAUGAGAGCGGAAAUGCCUCUGAAGGAAGCUCAUACCCAACGGCAGAGAUGGGAGGUGUGUGCGUACGGAGAACACGGGCACGAGAGAUGUUCUGCUGCCGAGACCCCACGUCCUGCUGUCGGUACCAGACGUCCAGGAGCCCGGUCGGCGCUGGUGUGGAAGGAAAAGGAUACGCAAUAACUUACUAGCGAGCGCUGCCGUAUCUCCCUGUCACGACACUUGCAGGACUCGUUAUCCGCACUUCCCUACCCUCCUCCAAAUUACCUGUGUGUUCUCCUUCCGCUUAAUGAGAGGGGACGGGUUUCUGCAAGCUGCUGAGAAAAUUGCUGCGCCCUUGGCCAACAGGAGGAGGCGAAGAAGAAGGAAGGAGGAGGCGAAGAAGAAGGAAGGAGGAGGCGAAGAAGAAGGAAGGAGGAGGCGAAGAAGAAGGAAGGAGGAGGCGAAGAAGAAGGAAGGAGGAGGCGAAGAAGAAGGAAGGAGGAGGCGAAGAAGGAAGGAAGGAAGGAGGCGAAGAAGGAAGGAGGAGGCGAAGAAGAAGGAAGGAGGAGGCGAAGAAGAGUGAGCCUCACAGGGCAAGGAGAUGGUCAACAUGCAGCACCUUGGAAACAAAUGGGGACCAGUUCAGCCUACCCAGAGGUUUGCAAAGGGCAAAAUUAAUUCAUUCUACCCAGAUGUUUGCUUGAAUAAAGUUUUUAAUAAGGUUCCUCCUAUGCACAGCAGCCUUGGGCUGACUUAUUCAUAAACCAGCUCUUUUGUGUGCUUUGAUAAGGGUAUAUCUGCAAUAAAUGGUGUAAAAAGUAAAUAAAAACACCC
Grus americana (Whooping crane) is the source of this 2548-nucleotide long non-coding RNA. RefSeq lists it as uncharacterized. NCBI's taxonomy places the organism in Eukaryota, Metazoa, Chordata, Aves, Gruiformes, Gruidae. The record is from RefSeq and is a predicted model, not a curated record. The transcript has 3 exons.